AUUGAACGCUGGCGGCAGGCUUAACACAUGCAAGUCGAGCGGGGGAAGGUAGCUUGCUACCGGACCUAGCGGCGGACGGGUGAGUAAUGCUUAGGAAUCUGCCUAUUAGUGGGGGACAACAUCUCGAAAGGGAUGCUAAUACCGCAUACGUCCUACGGGAGAAAGCAGGGGAUCUUCGGACCUUGCGCUAAUAGAUGAGCCUAAGUCGGAUUAGCUAGUUGGUGGGGUAAAGGCCUACCAAGGCGACGACCUGUAGCGGGUCUGAGAGGAUGAGCCGCCACACUGGGACUGAGACACGGCCCAGACUCCUACGGGAGGCAGCCGUGGGGAAUAUUGGACAAUGGGGGGAACCCUGAUCCAGCCAUGCCGCGUGUGUGAAGAAGGCCUUAUGGUUGUAAAGCACUUUAAGCGAGGAGGAGGCUACUCUAGUUAAUACCUAGGGAUAGUGGACGUUACUCGCAGAAUAAGCACCGGCUAACUCUGUGCCAGCCGCCGCGGUAA
RNAcentral lists this ribosomal RNA (501 nucleotides) under uncultured bacterium. RNAcentral's name for it is "partial 16S ribosomal RNA". It matches the Rfam family "Bacterial small subunit ribosomal RNA", at positions 30 to 523 of the family's 1533-position model. The record is from RNAcentral.